AUGAUUUAGUGCCUAUAUCUUUAAAGCUUAUUAAACUUCAAUUACAAUUAAAUCCUCCUUCAUAGUAUCCAUUUUUCAUACCCUACUCCGUAAUAAAUACAUUUUAUUGUAAUCCAUUUUAACUUGUUCAUAAACUACACCUUGAUCUAAUUUUAUCUAUUCUUUAAUAGAUCUUAAUAAUUAAUUUCUUUGAAAAUUAUCUGAUAAUGACGGUAUAUAAGCUAAAUAAAACAAGCAAGAUUCCACGUGGUAUAUCGAUCCAAAAACAGAUUCCUCUAAUAAGAUUAAACCACCGCCAAAUUCUUCAAAUUUAAAGAUCAUAUCUAUUAAU
RNAcentral lists this ribosomal RNA (331 nucleotides) under Atergatis roseus. RNAcentral's name for it is "partial large subunit ribosomal RNA". The record is from RNAcentral. Lineage: Eukaryota; Metazoa; Arthropoda; Malacostraca; Decapoda; Xanthidae.